GAUGAACGCUGGCGGCGUGCCUAAUACAUGCAAGUCGAGCGAACAGAUGAGGAGCUUGCUCCUCUGACGUUAGCGGCGGACGGGUGAGUAACACGUGGAUAACCUACCUAUAAGACUGGGAUAACUUCGGGAAACCGGAGCUAAUACCGGAUAAUAUAUUGAACCGCAUGGUUCAAUAGUGAAAGACGGUUUUGCUGUCACUUAUAGAUGGAUCCGCGCCGCAUUAGCUAGUUGGUAAGGUAACGGCUUACCAAGGCAACGAUGCGUAGCCGACCUGAGAGGGUGAUCGGCCACACUGGAACUGAGACACGGUCCAGACUCCUACGGGAGGCAGCAGUAGGGAAUCUUCCGCAACGGGCGAAAGCCUGACGGAGCAACGCCGCGUGAGUGAUGAAGGUCUUCGGAUCGUAAAACUCUGUUAUUAGGGGAGAACAAAUGUGUAAGUAACUAUGCACGUCUUGACGGUACCUAAUCAGAAAGCCACGGCUAACUACGUG
RNAcentral lists this ribosomal RNA (497 nucleotides) under uncultured bacterium. Its description in RNAcentral is "partial 16S ribosomal RNA". It matches the Rfam family "Bacterial small subunit ribosomal RNA", at positions 28 to 507 of the family's 1533-position model. The record is from RNAcentral.